GACUCCGUAGCUCAACGGAUAGAGCACCUGCCUUCUAAGCAGGGGGUUGCAGGUUCAAGUCCUGCCGGGGUCGCCA
RNAcentral lists this transfer RNA (76 nucleotides) under Alphaproteobacteria bacterium. Its description in RNAcentral is "tRNA-Arg". It matches the Rfam family "tRNA". Rfam says of the family: Transfer RNA (tRNA) molecules are approximately 80 nucleotides in length. Their secondary structure includes four short double-helical elements and three loops (D, anti-codon, and T loops). Further hydrogen bonds mediate the characteristic L-shaped molecular structure. tRNAs have two regions of fundamental functional importance: the anti-codon, which is responsible for specific mRNA codon recognition, and the 3' end, to which the tRNAs corresponding amino acid is attached (by aminoacyl-tRNA synthetases). tRNAs cope with the degeneracy of the genetic code in two manners: having more than one tRNA (with a specific anti-codon) for a particular amino acid; and 'wobble' base-pairing, i.e. permitting non-standard base-pairing at the 3rd anti-codon position. The record is from RNAcentral. Lineage: Bacteria; Pseudomonadati; Pseudomonadota; Alphaproteobacteria. RNAcentral also lists the same sequence under 2 other names.